UGGCUGAGGAUGCGCAAUCGAAAAUUUCGAACCGUGUCAGAUCCUAACGGAAGCAGCACUAAGAUUUCGUAGAUGUGCCGCAGACUCAGCCUCCC
RNAcentral lists this non-coding RNA (95 nucleotides) under Pseudomonadota bacterium. RNAcentral also lists the same sequence under 2 other names. Lineage: Bacteria; Pseudomonadati; Pseudomonadota. The record is from RNAcentral.